Molecule: ribosomal RNA, 469 nt
Filed under: Troglocaris hercegovinensis
Lineage: Eukaryota; Metazoa; Arthropoda; Malacostraca; Decapoda; Atyidae
Description: partial 16S ribosomal RNA
Rfam family: Bacterial large subunit ribosomal RNA
Source: RNAcentral
GUCUGGCCUGCCCACUGAUAGUUUAAAGGGCCGCGGUAUUAGGCCGUGCUAAGGUAGCAUAAUCAAUAGUCUUUUAAUUGGGGUCUAGAAUGAAAGGUUGGACGAAAAAUUAACUGUCUUGUAGAAAAAAGGAAUUUUACUUUUAAGUGAAAAGGCUUAAAUGAAAUAACGGGACGAUAAGACCCUGUGAAGCUUAAAUAAAUUUGAAAUAAAAACUUGCUAUUAAGUUAAUGGUAUUUAUUUUUGAUUAAAUUUGGCUGGGGCGGCCAGAAUAUAAAUAAUUAACUGUUUGUAGAGAAAAAAUAAAAUAAUUAGUUAAAUUAUCCUUUAAUAAGGAAAAAAAAUUAAAGUUACUCCAGGGAUAACAGCGUAAUUUUUCUUGAGAGUUCUUAUCGACAGAAAUAGUUGCGACCUCGAUGUUGAAUUAAAAUUUCGCUAAGGUGAAGAAGCUUUAGUAGUGGGUCUGUUC